GGAUGAACGCUGGCGGCGUGCCUAAUACAUGCAAGUCGAGCGGUAAGGCCACUUCGGUGGUACACGAGCGGCGGACGGCUGAGUAACGCGUAGGAACAUACCCCAAACUGAGGGAUAAGCACCAGAAAUGGUGUCUAAUACCGCAUGUGGUCCAAGGACUAAAGCUCCGGCGGUUUGGGAAUGGCCUGCGUAAGAUUAGCUUGUUGGUGAGGUAAUGGCUCACCAAGGCGACGAUCUUUAAGCUGGUCUGAGAGGAUGACCAGCCAGACUGGGACUGAGACACGGCCCAGACUCUUACGGGAGGCAGCAGUAGGGAAUUUUCCACAAUGGGCGAAAGCCUGAUGGAGCAACGCCGCGUGCAGGAUGAAUGUCUUCGGAUUGUAAACUGUC
RNAcentral lists this ribosomal RNA (390 nucleotides) under uncultured bacterium. Its description in RNAcentral is "bacterial SSU rRNA". It matches the Rfam family "Bacterial small subunit ribosomal RNA", at positions 27 to 434 of the family's 1533-position model. The record is from RNAcentral.